GACGAACGCUGGCGGCGUGCUUAACACAUGCAAGUUGAACGGAAUAUGUUGGAAGGGUAACCGGAAGGCAUAUUUAGUGGCGAACGGGUGAGUAAUGCAUGAGAACGUAUCCUCAAGAGGGGGACAACAUUGGGAAACCGAUGCUAAUACCCCAUAAGCCGGGAGGUAAAAGGAGCAAUCCGCUUGAGGAGCGGUUCAUGUCCUAUCAGCUGGUUGGUGAGGUAACGGCUCACCAAGGCGAAGACGGGUAGCCGGCCUGAGAGGGUGAACGGCCACACUGGAACUGAGAGACGGUCCAGACUCCUACGGGAGGCAGCAGUGGGGAAUAUUGGGCAAUGGGGGAAACCCUGACCCAGCGACGCCGCGUGAGGGAAGAAGGCCUUAGGGUCGUAAACCUCUG
This 400-nucleotide ribosomal RNA is filed under the name uncultured bacterium. RNAcentral describes it as "bacterial SSU rRNA". It matches the Rfam family "Bacterial small subunit ribosomal RNA", at positions 28 to 435 of the family's 1533-position model. The record is from RNAcentral.